Molecule: ribosomal RNA, 125 nt
Filed under: uncultured eukaryote
Lineage: Eukaryota
Description: partial 18S ribosomal RNA
Rfam family: Eukaryotic small subunit ribosomal RNA
Source: RNAcentral
CUACUACCGAUUGAAUGGCUCAGUGAGGCUCUCGGACUGGCUCAGGGAGGUUGGCAACGACCACCCCGAGCCGGAAAGUUUGUCAAACUCGGUCAUUUAGAGGAAGUAAAAGUCGUAACAAGGUU